RNAcentral lists this long non-coding RNA (5227 nucleotides) under Lathyrus oleraceus (garden pea). Its description in RNAcentral is "Pisum sativum (pea) long non-coding RNA (PSAT_LNC040027)". The record is from RNAcentral. Lineage: Eukaryota; Viridiplantae; Streptophyta; Magnoliopsida; Fabales; Fabaceae.
AUUCAAUCAAAUUUCAUGGGUUUAACAACAACAUUUUCAUUUUUCACACAAUUCAAUCAAAUUUCUUGGGUUUAACAUCAACAUUUCAUCAUUUCCACCAUUCAAUAAAUUUCAUAGAUUUAACAACAAAAUUUUCAUCAUUCCCACAAUUCAAUCAAAAUUCAUGGGUUUAACAUCAUCAUUUUCAUCAUUAACACAGUUCAAUCAAAUUUCAUGGGUUUACCAUCAACAUUUCAUCAUUUCCACAAUUCAAUCAAAUUUCAUAGGUUUAACAACAACAUUUUCAUCAUUCACACAAUUCAUUCAAAUUUCAUGGGUUUAACAUUAUCAUUUUCAUCAUUCACACAGUUCAAUCAAAUUUCAUGGGUUUAACAUCAACAUUUCAUCAUUUCCACAAUUCAAUCAAAUUUCAUGGUUUUAACAACAAUAUUUUCAUUUAAUCACACAAUUCAAUCAAAUUUCAUGGGUUUAACAUCAACAUUUUCAUCAUUCCCACAAUUCAAUCAAAAUUCAUGUGUUUAAUAACAACAUUUCCAUUAUUCCCACAAUUCAAUCAAAUUUCAUGGGUUUAAAUUCAUGUGUUUAAUAACAACAUUUCCAUUAUUCCCACAAUUCAAUCAAAUUUCAUGGGUUUAACAACAACAUUUUCAUUUUUCACACAAUUCAAUCAAAUUUCUUGGGUUUAACAUCAACAUUUCGUCAUUUCCACCAUUCAAUCAAAUUUCAUAGGUUUAACAACAACAUUUUCAUCAUUCACAUAAUUCAUUCAAAUUUCAUGGGUUUAACAUUAUCACUUUCAUCAUUCACACAGUUCAAUCAAAUGUCAUGGGUUUAACAUCAACAUUUCAUCGUUUCCACAAUUCAAUCAAAUUUCAUAGGUUUAACAACAACAUUUUCAAUAUUCACACAAUUCAAUCAAAUUUCAUAGGUUUAACAACAACCUUUUCAUCAUUCCCAUAAUUUAAUCAAAUUUCAUCGGUUUAACAUCAACAUUUUCAUCGUUCACACAAUUCAAUUAGAUUUUAAGGGUUUAACAAAAUAAUUUUUAUUAUUCAUAUAUUUCAAUCAAAUUUCAGGGUUUUAACAACAAUAUUUUCAUUUAAUCACACAAUUCAAUCAAAUUUUAUGGGUUUAACAUCAUCAUUUUCAUCAUUCCCACAAUUCAAUCAAAUUUCCUGUUUUUAACGUCAUCACUUUUAUCAUUCACACAAUUCAAUCGAAUUUCAUGGGUUUAACAUCAACAUUUCAUCAUUUCAACAAUUCAAUCAAAUUUCAUAGGUUUAACAACAACAUUUUCAUCAUUUACACAAUUCAAUAAAAUUUUAUAGGUUUAACAACAACAUUUUCAUCAUCCCCAUAAUUCAACCAAAUUUCAUGGGUUAAACAACAACAUUUUCAUCAAUCCCACAAUGCAAUCAAAUUUCAUGGGUUUAACAUCAACAUUUUCAUCAUUCCCACAAUUCAAUCAAAUUUCAUGGGUUUAACAACAACAUUUCUAUCAUUCACACAACUCAAUCAAAUUUUAGGGGUUUAACAACAACAUUUUCAUCAUUCCCACAAUACAAUCAAAUUUCAUGGGUUUAACAUCAUCAUUUUCAUCAUUCACACAGUUCAAUCAAAUUUCAUGGGUUUAACAUCAACAUUUCAUCAUUUCGACAAUUCAAUCAAAUUUCAUAGGUUUAACAACAACAUUUUCANNNNNNNNNNNNNNNNNAUCCAACAAUUCAAUCAAAUUCAUGGGUUUAACACAACAUUUCAUCAUUUCACAUUCAAUCAAUUUCAAGGCUUUACAACAACAUUUUUCAUUCACAAAUUCAAUAAAAUUUCAUAGGUUUAACAACAACACUUUCAUCAUUCCCAUAAUUCAAUCAAAGUUCAUGGUUUAACAUCAUCGGUUUCGUCAUUCACACAGUUCAAUCAAAUUCAGGGUUUAACAUCAACAUUUCAUCAAUUCCACAUUCAAUCAAUAUGUUCAUAGGUUAACAACAACAUUUUCAAUCAUUUACAACAAUUCAAUCAAAUUUAUAAGGUUUAACAACAACAUUUCAUCAUCCCAUAAUUCAACAAAGUUCAUGGGUUUAAUUACAACAAUAAGCAUUCCCAAAUUCGAUCAAUCAUUUAACAUCACAUUUCAUAUUCCAAAUCAACAAUUCAUGGGUUUAACAAAACAUUUCUUAAUAUUCCCACAAUUCAAUCAAAUAUUAGGAUUAACAAAACAACACAUUUUCCAUAUUCCCUAUCAUACAUUUUCAUUCCAAUUAAUAAAUUUCAUGGUUUAACAUCACGAUUUUCAUCAUUCCUCCAAUUCAUCAAAAUUCAUUGUUUAAUAACAACAUUUCCAUUAUUCCGCACAAUCAAUCAAUCAUCGGGUUUAACAACACAUUUUCAUUUUUCACACAAUUCAUCAAUAUUGCUUGGGUUUAACAUCAACAUUUCAUCAUUUCCACCAUUCAAUCAUUCAGUAGGUUUAACAACAACAUUUUCAUCACUUCCACAAUUCAUUCCAAAUUUCAUGGGGUUUAACAUUAUCAAUUUUCUCAUUCACACAGUUCAAUCAAUUUUCAUGGUUUAACAUCAACAUUUCCUCAUUUCCACAAUUCAAUAAAUUUUCAUAGGUUUAAAAACAACAUUUUCAUCUUACACAAUUCAAUCAAAAUUUCAUAGGUUUAAAACAGCCUUUCAUCAUUCCCAUAAGUCAAUCAAAUUUCAUCGGGGUUUUAACAUCGAACCUUUUCAUACGUUCACACAUUUCAAUUGAUUUUAAGGGUUUAACAAGAAUAAUUUUUAUUCACAUAUAGUUCAAUCAAUUUCAUGGGUUUACAAUAUUUUCAUUUUAAUCAACUUCCCACAAUUCAACAAAUUUCACCUGGGGUUUAACAUCAUCAUUUUGCAUCCCUCAAAAAUUCUAUAACAUUCAUUCAUAAUUCAAUUCAAAAUUCAUGUGUUUAAUAACAACAUUUCCAUUAUUCCGCUCAAUUCAAUCAAAUUUCAUGGUUUAACAACAACAUUUUCAUUUUUCACACAAUUCAAUCAAAUUUCUUGGUUUAACAUCAACUUUUCAUCAUUUCCACCAUUCAAUCAAAUUAUCGGUUUAACAACAACAUUUUCAUCAUCCCACAAUUCAUUCAAUUUCAUGGGUUUAACAUUAUCAUUUUCAUCAUUCACCAGUUCAAUCAAAUUUUAUGGGUUUAACAUCAACAUUUCAUCAUUUCCACAAUUCAAUCAAUUUUCAUAGGUUUAACAACAAACAUUUUCAUCAUUCACACAAUUCAAUCAAAUUUCAGUUUAACAACAGCACUUUCAUCAUUCCCUUAAGUCAAUCAAUUUCAUCGGUUAACAUCGACAUUUGAUCAUCACACUUUCAAUUAGAUUUUAAGGGUUACAAAAUAUUUUUAUCAUUCAUAAUCAAUAAAAUUUCAUGGUUACACAACAUUUUUCAUCAUUUCAUCAUCAUAUUAUCGCUACACACCACAUAUGCAAAUCACCCAAUUUCAUGGAUUUUAAAUCAUCACAAUUUUCAUCAUUCCACAAUUCAAUCAAACUUUCAUGGGUUUAACAUCCACAUUUUCAUAUUUCCCACAUCAAUCAAAUUCAUAUGGUUUAAAAAACAUUUCCAUAUUCCCAUUCAAUCAAAUUCAUGGGUAUUAAUCACAACAUUUUCAUCUUCUCACACAAUUCCAAUCAAAUUCUUGGCGUUACACCAUCAACAUGUCUUCCAUAUCCAACACUCAAUCAAAUUUCGAUGUUUAAACAAACCAACAUUUUCUAUCAUUCCCAACAAUUCACCAUCAAUUUUAGGUUUAAAAACAACAUCUAUCAUUCUCCCACAACCUUCAAUAAAGUCAUGGGUUUUAACAUCAACAUUUCAUCUAUUUCCACAAUCAAUCAUAAUUUCAAGGUUAACAACAACAUAUUUAUCAUUCACACAAUUCAUCAAAUUUCAUGGUUAACAUUAUACACUUUUCAUCAUCUCAUGAAGUUCAAUCAAAUUUCUGCGUUAACAUCAUCAUUUCAUCAUCUUUCAACAGACUGCAAUCAAAUUUUCAUAGGUUUACACAACAUUUUCAUCAAUACCAAUUCAAUCAAAUUUCAAGGUCUUAACAACAAGCACUUUCAACAUGUUACAUUAAUUCAAUCAAAUUUAUUAGGUUUCAAACAUAAUUUCAUAUUCCAUCAAUUCAACAUAGGAUUUAUGGUUUACACAAUAAUUUUUAUAUGACCACGAUAUUCCAUCAAUUUCAUGGUUUAACAACACAUAUUUUCAUAUCCCACAAUUCAAUCAAAUUUCUGGGUUUAACAAAAACAUUUCUAUCAUCACAUAUUCAAUCAAAUUUUAGGGGUUAAAAUAACAUUUUCAUCAUUCCCACAACUUGAAUAAAAUUUCAUGGUUUAACAUCCACAUUUCAUCAUUCAUAAUUCAAUCAAAUCAUGGGUUUAAUAACAACAUUUCAUUAUUCGGACAUUCAAAUCCAAAUUCAUGGUCUACACACAUUUCAUUUUUCAACACAAGUUCAAUCAAAUUUGUGUGUGUCGUAGCGUGAUCGUUGUCUGCUGCAUGUGCUGAUCUGGAUUUCAUGUUGGGGUGUGAUACUGUACGUUUAUUCUUCCCACAAUUCAUUCAAUGCAGGGUUAACUUAUCUCAUCAUCACACCGGUUCAACAAUUUAGUGGAGGUACAUCAAGAUUUCAUCAUUUCCACAAUUCAAUCGAUUCAUAGUUUAAUCUAUGCGUGUGUAUCUAUCUAUAUCAAUUUCAUGGUUUAACAAAACGAGCACUUAUCAUUCCUUAAGCAAUCAAAUUUCACGUUACAUCGCCUUUCGUGUGUGUGUCUGAUGUGAUAAUAUGUGUGUUUAACAAAUAUUUUUAUCAUUCAUAUAUCAAUCAAAAUUUCAUGUUUUAACACAAUAUUUUACAUUUAAUCACACAAUUCAAUCAAUUCUUGGGUUUAAACAUCAACUUACAUCAUCUUCCACCAUUCAAUCAAUUUCAUUAGGUUUAACAACAAUCAUCAUUCCCCAAUUCAUUCAAUUCAUGGCGUUUUUACAAUUAUCAUUUUCAUCAUCACACAGUUCAAUCAAAUCUUAUGGGUUAACAUAACUUCAUACAUUUCAUCAUUUCCACCAUUCAAUCAAUUUCAUAGAUUUAACAACAACAUUUUCAUCAUUCCCACAAUUCAAUCAAAAUUCAUGGGUUUAACAUCAUCAUUUUCAUCAUUCACACAGUUCAAU